GAGUUUGAUCUUGGCUCAGAUUGAACGCUGGCGGCAUGCCUUACACAUGCAAGUCGAACGGCAGCAUGAUCUAGCUUGCUAGAUUGAUGGCGAGUGGCGAACGGGUGAGUAAUACAUCGGAACGUGCCCUGUAGUGGGGGAUAACUAGUCGAAAGAUUAGCUAAUACCGCAUACGACCUGAGGGUGAAAGUGGGGGACCGCAAGGCCUCAUGCUAUAGGAGCGGCCGAUGUCUGAUUAGCUAGUUGGUGGGGUAAAGGCCCACCAAGGCGACGAUCAGUAGCUGGUCUGAGAGGACGAUCAGCCACACUGGGACUGAGACACGGCCCAGACUCCUACGGGAGGCAGCAGUGGGGAAUUUUGGACAAUGGGCGAAAGCCUGAUCCAGCAAUGCCGCGUGUGUGAAGG
This 406-nucleotide ribosomal RNA is filed under the name uncultured microorganism. RNAcentral describes it as "bacterial SSU rRNA". It matches the Rfam family "Bacterial small subunit ribosomal RNA", at positions 9 to 411 of the family's 1533-position model. The record is from RNAcentral.